UGUAGUCAAGUGUUAUUGUGCAUGCUUUGUUUUGGUUGAGGUGGUGAUUUGUUGUCGGCUACAAUA
RNAcentral lists this transfer RNA (66 nucleotides) under Diplostomum ardeae. RNAcentral's name for it is "tRNA-Gln". Lineage: Eukaryota; Metazoa; Platyhelminthes; Trematoda; Diplostomida; Diplostomidae. The record is from RNAcentral.